UUUAUUCCUUCACAAAACAUGUCAAUUAAGCCCAAUCGCUGAUGUGGCGCUGACAUGGUGUGGCAGGUGUAAUACACUCUCCUAAAGGAGAGUAAGAAACCAUAAUUAAUGAAAAAAAAAUUAAACAUAAAAAAAACAACCAAUGCAAUAAAAAAAAUACAUUAAAGAAAUUAUAAAAAAAAAAAGAAAAGAGAAUAGCAUUCAUCUUCUUCUCCAUUCAAAAAACACACAGUAAUGGAGAAUUCCAUUCAUACACACAUAAUAAAGAGAAGCAAAAGGAAGACUCCAUUUUUCUUCUUCCAGAAUAUAUACACACAAUUACAAUAAACACACGGACUCACAAAAUUCUACACACACCAAUUCUCCAACCAAUUAAAAAAAUACAUUAAAGAAAUUAAAAAAAAAAUACCCAUCAUCUUCUUCUCCAUUAAUGAUUCUUUAAAAAUCAUUCAUAUAUAAAAAACCUCAACCAAUAAAAAAAAGUACAUUAAAGAAAUUAAAAGAAAUAAGAAAUAGCCAUCAUCUUCUCCAUAUCUUCUUCUCCAUUAAUGAUUUCUCCACGGGGAGGGGGAGUUUCCUUCUAGCGGUAGUAGUAUAUGUAAUGAAGAAGAAGAAUAAGAUACAAUUUUUUUUCUUUCUUUUUGCGCCGAAUCAACGAGGAAGAGGGGGAGGGGGGGAAGAGAAGG
This 686-nucleotide long non-coding RNA is filed under the name Capsicum annuum. RNAcentral describes it as "long non-coding RNA (CANN_LNC010212)". The record is from RNAcentral. Lineage: Eukaryota; Viridiplantae; Streptophyta; Magnoliopsida; Solanales; Solanaceae.